UACGAAGGGGCUAGCGUUGCUCGGAAUCACUGGGCGUAAAGCGCACGUAGGCGGAUUGUUAAGUCAGGGGUGAAAUCCUGGAGCUCAACUCCAGAACUGCCUUUGAUACUGGCGAUCUUGAGUCCGGGAGAGGUGAGUGGAACUCCGAGUGUAGAGGUGAAAUUCGUAGAUAUUCGGAAGAACACCAGUGGCGAAGGCGGCUCACUGGCCCGGUACUGACGCUGAGGUGCGAAAGCGUGGGGAGCAAACAGG
RNAcentral lists this ribosomal RNA (252 nucleotides) under uncultured bacterium. Its description in RNAcentral is "partial 16S ribosomal RNA". It matches the Rfam family "Bacterial small subunit ribosomal RNA", at positions 524 to 776 of the family's 1533-position model. The record is from RNAcentral.